GAUUUACAUUUGAGUGAGUGGCGAACUGGUGAGUAACACGUGGGAAACCUGCCCAGAAGCGGGGGAUAACACCUGGAAACAGAUGCUAAUACCGCAUAACAACUUGGACCGCAUGGUCCGAGUUUGAAAGAUGGCUUCGGCUAUCACUUUUGGAUGGUCCCGCGGCGUAUUAGCUAGAUGGUGGGGUAACGGCUCACCAUGGCAAUGAUACGUAGCCGACCUGAGAGGGUAAUCGGCCACAUUGGGACUGAGACACGGCCCAAACUCCUACGGGAGGCAGCAGUAGGGAAUCUUCCACAAUGGACGAAAGUCUGAUGGAGCAACGCCGCGUGAGUGAAGAAGGGUUUCGGCUCGUAAAACUCUGUUGUUAAAGAAGAACAUAUCUGAGAGUAACUGUUCAGGUAUUGACGGUAUUUAACCAGAAAGCCACGGCUAACUACGUGCCAGCAGCCGCGGUAAUACGUAGGUGGCAAGCGUUGUCCGGAUUUAUUGGGCGUAAAGCGAGCGCAGGCGGUUUUUUAAGUCUGAUGUGAAAGCCUUCGGCUCAACCGAAGAAGUGCAUCGGAAACUGGGAAACUUGAGUGCAGAAGAGGACAGUGGAACUCCAUGUGUAGCGGUGAAAUGCGUAGAUAUAUGGAAGAACACCAGUGGCGAAGGCGGCUGUCUGGUCUGUAACUGACGCUGAGGCUCGAAAGUAUGGGUAGCAAACAGGAUUAGAUACCCUGGUAGUCCAUACCGUAAACGAUGAAUGCUAAGUGUUGGAGGGUUUCCGCCCUUCAGUGCUGCAGCUAACGCAUUAAGCAUUCCGCCUGGGGGAGUACGGGCCGCAAGGCUGAAACUCAAAAGGAAUU
RNAcentral lists this ribosomal RNA (851 nucleotides) under Lactiplantibacillus plantarum. RNAcentral's name for it is "bacterial SSU rRNA". It matches the Rfam family "Bacterial small subunit ribosomal RNA", at positions 76 to 911 of the family's 1533-position model. Lineage: Bacteria; Bacillati; Bacillota; Bacilli; Lactobacillales; Lactobacillaceae. The record is from RNAcentral.